This 796-nucleotide long non-coding RNA is filed under the name Olea europaea (common olive). RNAcentral's name for it is "long non-coding RNA (OEUR_LNC000679)". The record is from RNAcentral. Lineage: Eukaryota; Viridiplantae; Streptophyta; Magnoliopsida; Lamiales; Oleaceae.
UCAAAUAUAUCGAUGUAAGUAUUCAUAUCCUCGAUAGCAGCAUUUCUUCUGCAAUAUAUAUAAAUUACUACUUACAGUCCAUGGGUUGCGCAAACAUCUUCUGAAGUCCUCGAAUGUAAGUGUCAAUCCCAUCGAAAGCAUAAGGAAACCCAAACCAACAGUAAAUAGGUCUGUUUCUAACCAAGUAACCUGCAAGACUCUGAGAUUCAACUAAUUGAUAAUUAUUAAGUUUCAGCAGUUGCAACUGAAAGAACUUACCGCAGCAGGUUUGUAAAUGCCAAUAAUGGUACCUAAUAUAACCUGCACAGAGUGAAUAGAACUGAUAAGUGAAUCUUUCCAUGACAUAACUUCUUCCGAGGACGGCAUAGAGGAAAAAAGGAACAAAAUGAAAUUUUACUGUUGCAACAAAAUUGAAUGAACAUACCCACACUGGAAAGAGAGUUGUCAAUGUUUCAAUUAUUCUCUCAUAUUGGCUCAAUGGGCUUGAUGAUGUAUUGUGCCAAAAAUCCCACACCCACCUAAAAACACAAGCAACAAUUUCUCUCAAAUAUAUCGAUGUAAGUAUUCAUAUCCUCGAUAGCAGCAUUUCUUCUGCAAUAUAUAUAAAUUACUACUUACAGUCCAUGGGUUGCGCAAACAUCUUCUGAAGUCCUCGAAUGUAAGUGUCAAUCCCAUCGAAAGCAUAAGGAAACCCAAACCAACAGUAAAUAGGUCUGUUUCUAACCAAGUAACCUGCAAGACUCUGAGAUUCAACUAAUUGAUAAUUAUUCAAGUUUCAGCAGUUGCAACUGAAAGA